CGAGUAGAUUGCAGCAAGGAUGACUUGCCGGAAUUGCCAUCGCUUGGCAGAAAGGAUGACUUGCCGGAUUUGCAAGUUGUCUUUGGCUACAUUUUGCUCCCU
RNAcentral lists this microRNA precursor (102 nucleotides) under Olea europaea subsp. europaea. Lineage: Eukaryota; Viridiplantae; Streptophyta; Magnoliopsida; Lamiales; Oleaceae. The record is from RNAcentral.